RNAcentral lists this ribosomal RNA (293 nucleotides) under uncultured bacterium. Its description in RNAcentral is "partial 16S ribosomal RNA". It matches the Rfam family "Bacterial small subunit ribosomal RNA", at positions 775 to 1067 of the family's 1533-position model. The record is from RNAcentral.
GGAUUAGAUACCCUGGUAGUCCACGCCGUAAACGAUGUCUACCAGUCGUUGGGACUCUUGAAGUCUUAGUGACGCAGUUAACGCACUAAGUAGACCGCCUGGGGAGUACGGCCGCAAGGUUAAAACUCAAAUGAAUUGACGGGGGCCCGCACAAGCGGUGGAGCAUGUGGUUUAAUUCGAUGCAACGCGAAGAACCUUACCUGGUCUUGACAUAUCCGGAAUCCUGCAGAGAUGCGGGAGUGCCUUCGGGAAUCGGAAUACAGGUGCUGCAUGGCUGUCGUCAGCUCGUGCUG